UGAGUGAGAUUUAAAUCCUUUCACAAGGAUCAAUUGGAGGGCAAGUCUGGUGCCAGCAGCCGCGGUAACUCCAGCUCCAAUAGCGUAUAUUAAAGUUGUUGCAGUUAAAAAGCUCGUAGUUGGAUCUCGGUCGCAUUGUUGCCUGCCAUCGCUUGGCUUGUGAGGCAGAGUUGUGUGCUUUGCACUGGCUUUGUCAUGCUUGUCGAGUUGGCUUGGUGGCGGUGUAGCCUUUUAGCCAUGUCUGUGGUGAAAUAUCCAUAGGUGUAGGCGAGUGUCAGGCGGUGCCUUGCAAUAGUAGGGUCUGUCGGCUUGUCUGCAUGCCUUUGGAUGCCCUUCAAAAGGUGUCUGUAGGCAGAUGGCACGUUUACUUUGAACAAAUUUGAGUGCUCAAAUCAGGCCGAUGUUGCCUGAAAAGUUUUGCAUGGAAUAAUGGAAUAGGACUUCGGUUCUAUUUUGUUGGUUUUCGGAUCCGAAGUAAUGAUCAAAAGAGACAGGCGGGGACCUUUGUAUGGUUGCGCUAGAGGUGAAAUUCAUGGACCGUAGCCAGACAAACUAAAGCGAAAGCAUUCGUCAAGCAUGUUUUCAUUGACCAUGAGCGAAAGUCAGAGGCUCGAAGACGAUCAGAUACCGUCCUAGUUCUGACCAUAAACUAUGCCAACUGACGAUCCGUGAUGGUAGUAUUUUAACCUUCCACACGGGCAGUCCCCGGAAAACCUUUAAGUCUUUGGGUUCCGGGGGAAGUAUGGUUGCAAAGCUGAAACUUAAAGGAAUUGACGGAAGGGCACCACCAGGAGUGGAGCCUGCGGCUUAAUUUGACUCAGCGCGGGAAAACUCACCCGGGCCGGACACUAUGAGGAUUGACAGAUUGACAGCUCUUUCAUGAUUUGGUGGUUGGUGGUGCAUGGCCGUUCUUAGUUGGUGGAGCGAUUUGUCUGGUUAAUUCCGAUAACGAACGAGACUCUAGCUUGCUCAUUAGUGUGCUUGUCCACUGUGCCUGUGCAGGUGGGGUUUCUACGAUUCUGCUCUAUCAAAGUGGCUUGCUGAAAGCGUGCAGUGGUUAUGCUGUUGUGCGUGGAAAGCUUGUCGCUGGAGUGGAUGGUUAGGCGUUGCUUCCGGGUGCGGCGCGAGCAUUCUACUUCUUAGAAGGACAAACGGCAGAAUCCGCACGAAAUUGAGCAAUAACAGGUCUGUGAUGCCCUUAGAUGUCCGGGGCCGCACGCGCGCUACAAUGACGAUGGCAACGAGUCUGACCUUCUGGCCCGAAAGGGUUGGACAAACUGGUCAAUCAUCGUCAUGACAGGGAUUGGGGCUUGUAAUUGUUCCCCAUGAACGAGGAAUUCCUAGUAAGUGCAAGUCAUAAGCUUGCGCUGAUUACGUCCCUGCCCUUUGUACACACCGCCCGUCGCUACUACCGAUUGAAUGGUUUAGUAAGGUCAUUGG
This 1440-nucleotide ribosomal RNA is filed under the name Echinobothrium cf. rhynchobati 2 FPLM-2013. Its description in RNAcentral is "SSU rRNA". It matches the Rfam family "Eukaryotic small subunit ribosomal RNA", at positions 515 to 1713 of the family's 1831-position model. Lineage: Eukaryota; Metazoa; Platyhelminthes; Cestoda; Diphyllidea; Echinobothriidae. The record is from RNAcentral.